GAACCGCGAAAUGUAAUGUGAAUUGCAUAGUUCGUGAAUCAUCAAAUCUUUGAACGCAUAUUGCACUGUCUGGAAUUCCAGGCAGUAGGUCUGUUUGAGUAUCUGUAUACCAUCAAAGGGUCUUUACGUUAUCAGCAACUCGCAAGGGAAGUUGAUGGCGUGUCGGCACUUUGGACAUGGGCUGUCAGGUGGCAACACCUGUGGUCUUAAAUAUAUAGUGUCUUUGCUUCGGCUUAGACGUUGCCUAUUCCUUUUGGUGUAGGCGCACCUACAUUCACUAUUGAAGAACACCCUUCCUUGAUAGACUAAAGAAUGUGGGUAAGAGUGCUGAUAACCUCGGUUUAACGCCUCACUCAUGAUCUCAAAUCAGACCAGACUACCCGCUGAACUUAA
This 393-nucleotide unclassified non-coding RNA is filed under the name uncultured fungus. RNAcentral describes it as "sequence contains ITS1". The stretch from base 1 to 104 matches the Rfam family "5.8S ribosomal RNA", at positions 50 to 154 of the family's 154-position model. The record is from RNAcentral. Lineage: Eukaryota; Fungi.